GGUAAGGUAGCCGAAGUAGGCGGUGGGUUGUAGCCCCAAAGAUGGAGGUUUGAGUCCUCUCCUUAUCA
RNAcentral lists this transfer RNA (68 nucleotides) under Ellopostoma mystax (enigmatic loach). RNAcentral describes it as "tRNA-Tyr". It matches the Rfam family "tRNA". Rfam says of the family: Transfer RNA (tRNA) molecules are approximately 80 nucleotides in length. Their secondary structure includes four short double-helical elements and three loops (D, anti-codon, and T loops). Further hydrogen bonds mediate the characteristic L-shaped molecular structure. tRNAs have two regions of fundamental functional importance: the anti-codon, which is responsible for specific mRNA codon recognition, and the 3' end, to which the tRNAs corresponding amino acid is attached (by aminoacyl-tRNA synthetases). tRNAs cope with the degeneracy of the genetic code in two manners: having more than one tRNA (with a specific anti-codon) for a particular amino acid; and 'wobble' base-pairing, i.e. permitting non-standard base-pairing at the 3rd anti-codon position. Lineage: Eukaryota; Metazoa; Chordata; Actinopteri; Cypriniformes; Ellopostomatidae. The record is from RNAcentral.